RNAcentral lists this microRNA precursor (64 nucleotides) under Chlorocebus sabaeus (green monkey). RNAcentral's name for it is "miRNA (ENSCSAG00000022754.1)". The record is from RNAcentral. Lineage: Eukaryota; Metazoa; Chordata; Mammalia; Primates; Cercopithecidae.
AAUCUACUUCUCCCGCCGCAGGGGAAAAAAGGCAGGAGAAGCCCCAGCAGAAAUUUGCUGCUCC